Molecule: ribosomal RNA, 253 nt
Filed under: uncultured bacterium
Lineage: Bacteria
Description: partial 16S ribosomal RNA
Rfam family: Bacterial small subunit ribosomal RNA
Source: RNAcentral
UACGUAGGGGGCUAGCGUUGUCCGGAAUCAUUGGGCGUAAAGAGCGUGUAGGCGGUCCGGUAAGUCCGCUGUGAAAGUCGGGGGCUCAACCCUCGAAUGCCGGUGGAUACUGUUGGGCUUGAGUACGGAAGAGGCGAGUGGAAUUCCUGGUGUAGCGGUGAAAUGCGCAGAUAUCAGGAGGAACACCAAUUGCGAAGGCAGCUCGCUGGGACGUUACUGACGCUGAGACGCGAAAGCGUGGGGAGCAAACAGG